UAGGAUUAGGAUUUGGUUAGGAUUUGAUUUAGAAUUAGGAUUUGAUUUAAGAUUUAGGAUUUGGUUAGGAUUUGAUUUAGGAUUAGGACUUGAUUUAGGAUUUAGAGUUUGGUGAAGGUUUGAUUUAGGAUUGAGAUUUGAUUAGGAUUUGGUUCAAGGUUUAGGAUUUGGUUAGGAUUUGAUUUAGGAUUAUGAUUUGAUUAAGAUUUGAUUUAGAAUUUAAGAUUUGAUUUAGGAUUAUGAUUUGAUUAAGAUUUCAUUUAGAAUUUAAGAUUUGAUUUAGGAUUGGUUAAGAUUUGAUUUAGGAUUUAGAGUUUGGUUAAGGUUUGAUUUACGAUUUAGGGUUUGGUUUAGGAUUUGAAUCUAAAAGGUAUGACAUUAUAUUCAAAAUAUCUAUAAAUAAUUUAAAAAGUAGUCUUGAAUUUAUCUCUUUCUUUGAAACGAACUAAGUUGUAUGCUCUUCAUAGAUCUAUUUUGAUAUAAAUCUUUGCUUGAUUGAGUUGAUCAAGAAGUUCUAAAAUCAAAGGCAAAGGAUA
This 536-nucleotide long non-coding RNA is filed under the name Physcomitrium patens. RNAcentral describes it as "long non-coding RNA (PPAT_LNC005506)". Lineage: Eukaryota; Viridiplantae; Streptophyta; Bryopsida; Funariales; Funariaceae. The record is from RNAcentral.